This 450-nucleotide ribosomal RNA is filed under the name uncultured bacterium. RNAcentral describes it as "partial 16S ribosomal RNA". It matches the Rfam family "Bacterial small subunit ribosomal RNA", at positions 354 to 796 of the family's 1533-position model. The record is from RNAcentral.
GUGGGGAAUAUUGCACAAUGGGCGCAAGCCUGAUGCAGCCAUGCCGCGUGUAUGAAGAAGGCCUUCGGGUUGUAAAGUACUUUCAGCGAGGAGGAAGGUGUUGUGGUUAAUAACCGCAGCAAUUGACGUUACUCGCAGAAGAAGCACCGGCUAACUCCGUGCCAGCAGCCGCGGUAAUACGGAGGGUGCAAGCGUUAAUCGGAAUUACUGGGCGUAAAGCGCACGCAGGCGGUCUGUCAAGUCGGAUGUGAAAUCCCCGGGCUCAACCUGGGAACUGCAGCCGAAACUGGCAGGCUAGAGGCUUGUAGAGGGGGGUAGAAUGCCAGGUGUAGCGGUGAAAUGCGUAGGGAUCUGGAGGAAUACCGGUGGCGGAGGCGGGCCCCUGGACAAAGACUGACGCUCAGGUGCGAGAGCGUGGGGAGCAAACAGGAUUAGAAACCCUUGUAGUCC